Molecule: long non-coding RNA, 215 nt
Organism: Zalophus californianus (California sea lion)
Lineage: Eukaryota; Metazoa; Chordata; Mammalia; Carnivora; Otariidae
Exons: 3
Source: RefSeq, a predicted model, not a curated record
ACGCUCUUCAGAUCUGUUCUGGCGCACCUGCGAGGGGGACGCGGUCGUCAUGGCGGCGGCUGAGAAAAGGCGGCGGCUAGCGGCGGCGGGGGCCUUGGAGAGGUCCGAGGGCGCGACGAAGAGAUGGCGGAGGGCUGGCUCUGAACGGCCGGCCCGGGUGGGGGACGAGCGCCGGGUUCCGUCCAAGCACUGUUGAAGCGGGAAACCGCGGCGAC